AUACGGAGGGUGCGAGCGUUAAUCGGAAUUACUGGGCGUAAAGCGUACGUAGGUGGUUUGUUAAGUCAGAUGUGAAAGCCCUGGGCUCAACCUGGGAAUGGCAUUUGAAACUGACGAGCUAGAAUAUGGUAGAGGGAAGUGGAAUUCCGGGUGUAGCGGUGAAAUGCGUAGAUAUCCGGAGGAACACCAGUGGCGAAGGCGGCUUCCUGGACCAAUAUUGACGCUGAGGUACGAAAGCGUGGGUAGCAAACAGGAUUAGAAACCCGAGUAGUCC
This 274-nucleotide ribosomal RNA is filed under the name uncultured bacterium. RNAcentral's name for it is "partial 16S ribosomal RNA". It matches the Rfam family "Bacterial small subunit ribosomal RNA", at positions 523 to 796 of the family's 1533-position model. The record is from RNAcentral.